AAUGAACGUUGGCGGCGUGGAUUAGGCAUGCAAGUCGAGCGAGAACCGUAGCAAUACGGGGACAGCGGCGAAAGGGAGAUGAAUACGCGGGUACCUACCCUCGGAUCUGGGAUAGCCACGGGAAACUGUGGGUAAUACCAGAUAACGUCUUCGGACCAAAGGUGUGAUUCCGUCCGAGGAGGGGCCCACGUCCUAUUAGCUAGUUGGUGGGGUAAUGGCCUACCAAGGCAAUGAUGGGUACGGGGCGUGGGAGCGUGCCACCGCUCACUGGGACUGAGACACUGCCCAGACACCGACGGGUGGCUGCAGUCGAGGAUCUUCGGCAAUGGGCGCAAGCCUGACCGAGCGACGCCGCGUGCGGGAUGAAGGCCUUCGGGUUGUAAACCGCCGUCGGAAGGGAGGAAAUGCCUAGGGGUUCUCCCCUAGGUUUGACCUAUCUUCAGAGGAAGUACGGGCUAAGUUCGUGCCAGCAGCCGCCGUAA
This 482-nucleotide ribosomal RNA is filed under the name uncultured bacterium. Its description in RNAcentral is "partial 16S ribosomal RNA". It matches the Rfam family "Bacterial small subunit ribosomal RNA", at positions 28 to 523 of the family's 1533-position model. The record is from RNAcentral.